GUGGGAGGGGAAUCAUCUAAAGGCAGCAGAUUUAUUUUACUCAAACGCAGGUCAUCAGAUUUAGAGUAAAAAUAACUCCUGUUUUAGAAAUGUAGUUACCAUUAACUACUAAAGUAGUGCGGUUUCUUUGAUUGUGAAGCGUCUGUCCCGAAGUCGUGUUCUUACACUCUAAAAAACGCUGGGUUGUUUUUUCAACCCAAAUGCUGGGUUGAGACCGCUAGGUAGGAAAUUUGGUUGUUUUAACCCAAGUUUGGGUUGAAAAUUGGUCUUGAUCAUAACCCAGCGGCGCUGGGUUGUGAACGCGGACGUGAAGGAGAGCACGCACGUCACGUUAAAAUCGUACGUCUCCAGUGCGAGAAGCCGCCAUUUUCUCAGCGUGAAAGAAGCGAGAAGCGAGUGAAAGACAUUACGACUUGUUGAGCUCGUGUCUUCAUUGUCCCCGCACUGAGAGUUAAAGACACCUGCUCUUGUGAGGAGUCACAGACUGUGUGAGGAGGAGACGGUGUUCUCAGCUUCUUCUGAAGAGAGGGACAGACGGGUUUAAGAUGUUGAAAGCCAGAGACAUAGGAGAGCAUCAAUCUUUUGAGAUUUAUAACUCAAGCUAACUUUGGAGUUAAGGACACAGAAGUCUGCUUGUGUGAGGAGGAGGCGGUGUUCUCAGCUUCUUCUGAAGAGAGGGAAAGAUAGUUUAAGAUGUUGAAAGCCAGAGACAUAGGGAAUAGUUCACACAAAAAAUCAUUUAGUUGCCCUCAUGUCAUUCCAAACCUAUACGACUUUUGUCUGUCUUUAGAAUACAAAUUAAUAUAUUUUGAAUUUUCUCAGAUUUUUGUUAAUCCAUUGAGAGUCUAGAUAGUCAGUAUUUUCAAACCUCAUAAAUUCAGAGUUAUUGUAGAAGUAAUCCAUUCCGAUAUUUAUAUAUGAUUAAAUCUUAAAUUAUAUGAUAGCAAACACGUGUGUUCAAAGUAAAAUAUUGGUCUCCCAGACUUGCAAUGGAGGACAAAAAUUAAUAGAAUAUUAAAUAUAUUUAUUUGUGUUCCAAAAAUUAGCAGAGUUUGUAUGGGUCUGGAACAACAUGGGGGAGUAAAUUAUGACCAUUUUCAUUUUUUGGUGGACUAACCCUUUGAAGAGCAGCCCUCAACGUACAUGAAAAUUUGUGAGGUAUGUGUGAAUGUUUCAGUAAAGUAGCUUUCGGAAAGCAAUAUAUUUAUUCAAACAAUAUCACAAGCCCUCACACUGGUGCUGCCAUUAUAGCAUUCUCGAGCGCUGACAUUAAACAACCACACAAAGUGUUGAAACUUUAAAACAGAUUAUUUACCUCUCCUUACUGAUGUGAAUACACCUCUAUCUGAAAAUGGAUAGUUUAAUUAGUUUUCUUUUUUCAAAUGUGUUUCUCUUUUUAGGCCACUGAUGAAGAACAGGUGGUGACUGGGAUGAAUGCUGGUCAAAGAAGAGAAUGUCCUUUCCCCUAAACUGAUGCAACAGUGGUUUUAAAGGAGGACGCUGCCCUGGGUGAUGUAGAUGUCACAUGUGCUGAUGGGGCUUCUUCAUGACUACAUCAGUUAUGCUAAAGAGAUCAUGAAAGUUGACAGUGAUGCAUGAUCUGUAUUCAUGGACUGUGAAACAAACUGUAAGUGUAUAAUUUGUAAAAACAAAAUGUAAAAUGCUUGUUCUGUGUUUAGUAAAUGAGUUUACACUCUGUCAUUCAUACACAUGCUCACAUUCUUUCACACACACACACGCGCGUCUGUUAAAUGUUAUAAUAUCAGUGUUAAUGUUGUGGUUUAUUUGUGUACUGUAAUGCUAGAAUAGUUGGUAAAGAACUUAACUAAUUGUACAUUUAUUGUAUAAUAGUACGUUCGUAUAUUUUUAUACAAUAUAUAAAAUUUACCAAAGUCCAAUUUGAUCUUUAAAGUUAUAUUCAACAAAUGUUCAAUGCUUUAUGAACUCUGUAGCUGUUAAUGCCAUACUUUUCUGCAUUUCUUCUUACAU
Long non-coding RNA from Cyprinus carpio carpio, 1989 nucleotides. Lineage: Eukaryota; Metazoa; Chordata; Actinopteri; Cypriniformes; Cyprinidae. The record is from Ensembl.